CAGUCGCCACGGGAAUACAGAGGGUGCGAGCGUUAAUCGGAUUUACUGGGCGUAAAGCGUGCGUAGGCGGCUAAUUGAGUCGGAUGUGAAAUCCCCGAGCUUAACUUGGGAAUUGCAUUCGAUACUGGUUAGCUAGAGUGUGGGAGAGGAUGGUAGAAUUCCAGGUGUAGCGGUGAAAUGCGUAGAGAUCUGGAGGAAUACCGAUGGCGAAGGCAGCCAUCUGGCCUAACACUGACGCUAAGGUACGAAAGCAUGGGGAGCAAACAGGAUUAGAUACCCGAGUAGUCCCUGUCUCUUAUAC
RNAcentral lists this ribosomal RNA (301 nucleotides) under uncultured bacterium. RNAcentral's name for it is "partial 16S ribosomal RNA". It matches the Rfam family "Bacterial small subunit ribosomal RNA", at positions 509 to 807 of the family's 1533-position model. The record is from RNAcentral.